This 459-nucleotide ribosomal RNA is filed under the name uncultured bacterium. Its description in RNAcentral is "partial 16S ribosomal RNA". It matches the Rfam family "Bacterial small subunit ribosomal RNA", at positions 338 to 795 of the family's 1533-position model. The record is from RNAcentral.
CCUACGGGAGGCUGCAGUGAGGAAUAUUGGUCAAUGGGCGGGAGCCUGAACCAGCCAAGUCGCGUGAAGGAAGAAGGUACUUAGUAUUGUAAACUUCUUUUGUCGGGGAACAAAGGCGGAGACGCGUCUCCGGAUGAGUGUACACGAAGAAACAGCAUCGGCUAACUCCGUGCCAGCAGCCGCGGUAAUACGGAGGAUGCGAGCGUGAUCCGGAUUUAUUGGGUUUAAUGGGUGCGCGGGGGGGAGAUCACGUCAGUGGUAAAAUGUCGGGGCUAAACCCCGGCCGGCCGUUGAAACUGGUUAUCUAGAGUGGGAGAGAGGUAUGCGGAAUUCGUGGUGUAGCGGUGAAAUGCAUAGAUAUCACGAAGAACUCCGAUGGCGAAAGCAGCAUACCGGCUCCAUACUGACGCUGAGGCACGAAAGCGUGGGGAUCGAACAGGAUUAGAUACCCUUGUAGUC